GUCAUCCUUGUGUCUCCUCAAAAGCUGAACUCAGUAACACCAAGAAUGACACCAAGCUGGAGCCCUUCACAAAAUACAACUGUACGGGUCAGAUCAAGAAAAACGAUGUCCUCAUUAAUCUCAACACCAGUAUCGAGGUCGAGAUUAACUGUGAUUUUGAAAUAAAUAUCAACGCGACUCCAACCAACACCUCCAUUAAUCUGACAUGGACCAACAGCAGCAAGAACUGUCCAGGUCUUCCUGAACUUCCACAGUUUUCAUAUGACUGCAGUUGUUCCCCCGAAGACAAAUCCACACACAAACGCGCUGGUUCAGCUACCAGUACUCCAACAGGAGGAAGCUGUCACAUUGAAGGACUGAAACCGUACAUCGACUAUACUUGUGAAGUCCAACCAAAAUACAACAACAAGAACGUUGGCUCACACAAUCCAGUUACACAAAAGACUGAACCUGGAAGUAAGUGUCCAAAACUGU
Molecule: non-coding RNA, 474 nt
Organism: Plectropomus leopardus (leopard coralgrouper)
Lineage: Eukaryota; Metazoa; Chordata; Actinopteri; Perciformes; Serranidae
Source: RefSeq, a predicted model, not a curated record